UACUCAGCGUUCUGACAACGUUAAUUUCCUUUGUGUGGGUCAUUUCUUCCUUUUGAAAAGCCAAGAUAAAGUUGACAGUCUUUAAAGAUGAAAGGAAUGAGGUGACAGUCGGGGUUAAUCCAUAUAAAUACUCAUUUCUCUCUCAGAAAUUUUUAGGCAAUCUCAUCUUAGAUUAAAAUAAAACCCCCCAAAGCAUCACUUUGUAUUGCACAUUACGCUGCAUCCCUUUUCUCGCCCUCAUAGCACCAGUCUGCGGGGAGGGGGCGGGGAAGCGCUACUGAUAAUACCAGCUUUAACUACUGGAGUUUCCCUUUGAACAAAUAUUCAAUUUAACCGGAGUUAAUUUACCAUAAAAGACAUUCCCCCUGGCACGAAUGCACUCAUGUCCUUGAACACACCUCUUUGAAAGCCUGGACUCUUACAGAAGCCAUUAUUUCGGGGUCUCUUUAAAAAUCCAGAGCCCAUCUCUCUCUUUCUCUCCCUCCCUCCCUUCUUCCCUCCCUCCACCCCACACCACCCCCAGUGAAAUCCUGGCACCCAGAGAGCACUCCUUUCAGCCAGAGAUCCCAGAACCAGCCGCUGUCCCCUGGCAAAAGAGGCCCAGUGCUGAGCCCUGGGCAAGUGUCUGCAGACAUCUCCUCCUCCCCUAUUAGUUUCCCUUACCAACAGAAAUCAUUUCCCCUUGCCACCAAAACUAGGUUGCAUCCAAAAGUUUCUCACAAGCUUUAAAGAGAAAAACGAAAAAUUGACAACUGUUACACAGAAGAGCUCACAAAUCCGCAGCAGCACCAGGGGGUGAAGAAGCAGCGACAGACCCAGGUUUGCAGGACCCUCUGAAGAACCCUCCCAUCAUGGAAGGGAGAAAAUGAAACUCUCUACCAGCGUCUAUUAGGGAAGCUAAAUUUCUCUCUUUCCGGCAAGUUUCCCAAACCUCAUGACUCUCAUUUCCAGACCAAAGACGUUUGCCCAGUAACGAGACGAGAGGAACAGCCUUCUAAGAGUGAAGCCCUCAAGACGUUUCCAAGCUGCCUGGACAAAGGCUUGGAAUGACUACAAUAGUGAACCAUCCUGCCUUGGACCUGAAUCUAGAUCGAUGACCUAAUACGUCUUUUCCAACUCUGACUGCCACAGUUUUAUGAGCAUCAAGGACUGGGCGUCUGCCAUUGUCAACAAGUAAGGCCUCUCCAGAGCUUGAACAUCCACAGAAACUCAAGUACCCCCCUCCCCCCCGAAGAGCACAGAUCGCCCAGUCUCCCAGGGCUCUGCGUGCUACCUCUAGCUUUCACGUGUGACACAGAAACUCCUCUUUGGCAG
Herpailurus yagouaroundi (jaguarundi) is the source of this 1314-nucleotide long non-coding RNA. RefSeq lists it as uncharacterized. The transcript has 3 exons. The record is from RefSeq and is a predicted model, not a curated record. NCBI's taxonomy places the organism in Eukaryota, Metazoa, Chordata, Mammalia, Carnivora, Felidae.